Molecule: long non-coding RNA, 824 nt
Filed under: Lonchura striata (white-rumped munia)
Lineage: Eukaryota; Metazoa; Chordata; Aves; Passeriformes; Estrildidae
Description: domestica (Bengalese finch) lncRNA (ENSLSDG00000012881.1)
Source: RNAcentral
GAGCGGCCUUUUUACCCGGCCGAGCGGCCUCUUUUUACCCGGCCGAGCGGCCUCUUUUUACCCGGCCGAGCGGCCUUUUUACCCGGCCGAGCGGCCUCUUUUUACCCGGCCGAGCGGCCUCUUUUUACCCGGCCGAGCGGCCUCUCUUUACCCGGCCGAGCGGCCUCCUUCUUUCCCCGGCCGAGCGACCUCCUUCUUUCCCCGGCCUCCUUCCUCUUUCUUCCCCCGGCCGAGCGGCCUCCUUCUUUCCCCGGCCUCCUUCCUCUUUCUUCCCCCGGCCGAGCGACCUCCUUCUUUCCCCGGCCUCCUUCCUCUUUCUUCCCCCGGCCGAGCGACCUCCUUCUUUCCCCGGCCUCCUUCCUCUCUCUUCCCCCGGCCGAGCGGCUGAGCGGGUGGGACGAAGGCCUGGAAGCACUGGCGCUGGUAAAACCUGAGGAGAAGCGGGCGCUGCCGUGACCUCGAUCCCCUCAGGGAAUCCCGAUCCGCCUCGGAGUGUCCACGCAGUGUGAUGGUGAACGCUAUGGCAUCCUCAAGCCUGGAAGAUUUAUGCCUCUACAUCAGUUUGAGGAUUUCAAAUAUUAAAAAGUGUAUCAUAUUGAGAGACCUAGGUAAACACGAUUCCUGCAAACGUUUUCUCCAUAAAAUAUGUAACGAGGGGAUCCUUGUACAUGAGCUCCUGCAAGCAAUGGAAAUUCAAGUUAAAAAGCAAGAAGAACUGAAAAAAUCGCUCAAAGAGAUCCAGAAGUCUGCUGAGAGAGCUCAAAAGGAAGCAUGGCACCUCCUUGAACACAUGCCACGCUAUCUGCCUAAACCACUCCAGGUCU